CCUACGGGUGGCAGCAGUCGAGAAUCAUUCACAAUGGGGGAAACCCUGAUGGUGCGACGCCGCGUGGGGGAAUGAAGGUCUUCGGAUUGUAAACCCCUGUCAUGUGGGAGCAAAUUAAAAAGAUAGUACCACAAGAGGAAGAGACGGGUAACUCUGUGCCGGCAGCCGCGGUAAUACAGAGGUCUCAAGCGUUGUUCGGAACCACUGGGCGUAAGGGGGGCGUAGGCUGUUUCGUAAGUCGUGUGUGAAGGGCGCGGGCUCAACCCGCGGACGGCACAUGAUACUGCGAGACUAGGGUAAUGGAGGGGGAACCGGAAUUCUCGGUGUAGCAGUGAAAUGCGUAGAUAUCGAGAGGAACACUCGUGGCGAAGGCGGGUUCCUGGACAUUAACUGACGCUGAGGCACGAAGGCCAGGGGAGCGAAAGGGAUUAGAUACCCGAGUAGUC
This 446-nucleotide ribosomal RNA is filed under the name uncultured bacterium. Its description in RNAcentral is "partial 16S ribosomal RNA". It matches the Rfam family "Bacterial small subunit ribosomal RNA", at positions 338 to 795 of the family's 1533-position model. The record is from RNAcentral.